UCUCCGGCUGGGAGGUGGUGGACGCCCCGGCGCUGCAAGCGCUGCGGGAGCGGCUGUCCGAGCACGGGGUGGCGUUCAAGGAGGCCACCAAGGAG
This 95-nucleotide transfer RNA is filed under the name Nocardia otitidiscaviarum. Its description in RNAcentral is "tRNA-Cys(gca)". Lineage: Bacteria; Bacillati; Actinomycetota; Actinomycetes; Mycobacteriales; Nocardiaceae. The record is from RNAcentral.